CCCUUAGAUGUCCUGGGCCGCACGCGCGCUACACUGAGUGUCUGAGAUACGAGUCUGCCUGGUCCGGCAAGGUCUAGGUAAUCGCUAAAAGACACAUCAUGCUUGGGAUAGAUUAUUGCAAAUAUUAAUCUUGAACGAGGAAUUCCUAGUAAGCGCAAGUCAACAGCUUGCGUUGAUUACGUCCCUGCCCUUUGUACACACCGCCAGUCGCUACUACUGAUUGGAUGUUUAAGCGAGGUUCUCGAACUGCUAGCGACUUAGCUUCGGUGAGGUCGCAGUGUGGGAAGUGAACCGAGCUUUGGUGUCUAGAGGAAGUAAAAGUCGUAACA
RNAcentral lists this ribosomal RNA (329 nucleotides) under uncultured eukaryote. Its description in RNAcentral is "partial 18S ribosomal RNA". It matches the Rfam family "Eukaryotic small subunit ribosomal RNA", at positions 1470 to 1796 of the family's 1831-position model. The record is from RNAcentral.